CAGCCGUAAACAAUGUGCGUUAGGUGUGUCGGUAACCACGUGUUACUGAUGCGCCGAAGAGAAAUCGUGAAACGCACCACCUGGGAAGUACGGUCGCAAGGCUGAAACUUAAAGGAAUUGGCGGGGGAGCACCACAACAGGUGGAGCCUGCGGUUUAAUUGGAUUCAACGCCGGACAUCUCACCGGAUAAGACAGCUGAAUGAUUGUCAAUCUGAAGGUUUUACAUGACUAGCUGAGAGGUGGUGCAUGG
RNAcentral lists this ribosomal RNA (250 nucleotides) under uncultured archaeon. RNAcentral's name for it is "partial 16S ribosomal RNA". It matches the Rfam family "Archaeal small subunit ribosomal RNA", at positions 748 to 997 of the family's 1478-position model. The record is from RNAcentral.